GGCCUAUUAGCUUAGUUGGUUAGAGCGUCGUGCUAAUAACGCGAAGAUCACAGGUUCGAUGGGCCA
This 66-nucleotide transfer RNA is filed under the name Ipomoea nil (Japanese morning glory). It matches the Rfam family "tRNA". Rfam says of the family: Transfer RNA (tRNA) molecules are approximately 80 nucleotides in length. Lineage: Eukaryota; Viridiplantae; Streptophyta; Magnoliopsida; Solanales; Convolvulaceae. The record is from Rfam by way of RNAcentral.